This 70-nucleotide ribosomal RNA is filed under the name Methylobacterium persicinum. RNAcentral's name for it is "partial 16S ribosomal RNA". It matches the Rfam family "Bacterial small subunit ribosomal RNA", at positions 1 to 70 of the family's 1533-position model. Lineage: Bacteria; Pseudomonadati; Pseudomonadota; Alphaproteobacteria; Hyphomicrobiales; Methylobacteriaceae. The record is from RNAcentral.
UAACGUGAGAGUUUGAUCCUGGCUCAGAGCGAACGCUGGCGGCAGGCUUAACACAUGCAAGUCGAGCGGG